This is a long non-coding RNA of Oncorhynchus tshawytscha (Chinook salmon), 655 nucleotides long. Lineage: Eukaryota; Metazoa; Chordata; Actinopteri; Salmoniformes; Salmonidae. The record is from Ensembl.
GAGGUCAUGUGAUGUAAUUACACAGGCCGAUGCUGCAGGGAUGUAAUGAGGUGAUGUAAUUACACAGGCCGAUGCUGCAGGGAUGUAGAGGUCAUGUGAUGUAAUUACACAGGCCGAUGCUGCAGGGAUGUAAUGAGGUGGUGUAAUUACACAGGCCGAUGCUGCAGGGAUGUAGAGGUCAUGUGAUGUAAUUACACAGGCCGAUGCUGCAGGGAUGUAGAGGUCAUUUGAAGCAGCCUUUCUUCCAUCGCGUGUUUGGAACAAUGACAAAGACAUCGGCAACUUUGUAUUCUGUCGUCAACUCCGCUCUGAAGUGACCUGGCGGGCACCGUCAGGCAGAGAUCAACAUCUUGAUGUAUGUUCAGUGAGAUCUGAGUUUACAGUGUACAACAUCUAGCACUUAGCUGACAUUUGUUUGUUUUUUUAACAAGCUUUUUCAAGUACAACAUUAAUAUAAUGAUGGUUUUGGGAAACAUUGAAGGAGAUUUAAUGAUGCUCCUAACGAAGGUUUUAAAGAGGAAUUUAUUAGUCUUACGAUGCUUCUGAGAAAUCAGUCUCUCUGGGUCUCCUGUUCUCUCACCCAGAGGAUUAUGGUUGUAUCCUAAAUGGCACGUCUCUCUCCCUCCCUGCUAGAGGCACCUCUCUCCCUCCCUGC